UACACCGGUAUAUAAACCAGUUCAUCUGAAGUAGGUCUUCUAUAUCUUUGCUUUGCAAUACAUUGAGGGAGUCACCAUGUUUGCAAGGUUCUGUCUCGUAUUGCUGAUAGUCUGUGUGACUGUAGGGUCAAUAUCUGCUGAAAUUUCAAAGAGAUAUUCAUGUGACCAUGGAGGAAUAAGAGGGUGUUCCGCACACUGUUACGGACAAGGUUACUCACACAGCUUUUGUGACGACAACAAUAACUGCCAUUGCUCCAAUCAUGGCAAAUAGCAGUGGUUUACAUGAUGAAAUGAAAGUUUAACAGUUGAUGCUACCAAUAAAAGUUAUUUAAAGAAA
Ruditapes philippinarum (Manila clam) is the source of this 337-nucleotide long non-coding RNA. RefSeq lists it as uncharacterized. Lineage: Eukaryota; Metazoa; Mollusca; Bivalvia; Venerida; Veneridae. The record is from RefSeq and is a predicted model, not a curated record. The transcript has 4 exons.